CCUACGGGUGGCAGCAGUGAGGAAUAUUGGUCAAUGGGCGCGAGCCUGAACCAGCCAAGUCGCGUGAGGGAAGACGGUCCUAUGGAUUGUAAACCUCUUUUGUCGGGGAGCAAAAGACGCCACGCGUGGCGUUCCGAGAGUACCCGAAGAAAAAGCAUCGGCUAACUCCGUGCCAGCAGCCGCGGUAAUACGGGGGAUGCGAGCGUUAUCCGGAUUUAUUGGGUUUAAAGGGUGCGCAGGCGGAAGAUCAAGUCAGCGGUAAAAUUGAGAGGCUCAACCUCUGCGAGCCGUUGAAACUGGUUGUCUUGAGUGAGUGAGAAGUAUGCGGAAGGCGUGGUGUAGCGGUGAAAUGCAUAGAUAUCACGCAGAACUCCGAUGGCGAAGGCAGCAUACCGGCGCUCAACUGACGCUCAUGCACGAAAGUGUGGGUAUCGAACAGGAUUAGAUACCCGAGUAGUC
This 459-nucleotide ribosomal RNA is filed under the name uncultured bacterium. RNAcentral describes it as "partial 16S ribosomal RNA". It matches the Rfam family "Bacterial small subunit ribosomal RNA", at positions 338 to 795 of the family's 1533-position model. The record is from RNAcentral.